This 740-nucleotide ribosomal RNA is filed under the name uncultured Ascomycota. RNAcentral describes it as "LSU rRNA". It matches the Rfam family "Eukaryotic large subunit ribosomal RNA", at positions 479 to 1236 of the family's 3401-position model. Lineage: Eukaryota; Fungi; Ascomycota. The record is from RNAcentral.
ACUCUUCUAUGGGCAGGCCAGCAUCAGUCCGGGCGGUUGGAGAAAGACCUGUGUCAUGUAGCUGUUUUCGGGCAGUGUUAUAGGGCAGGUGGAAUGCAACCAGCCUGGACUGAGGUCCGCGCAUCUGCUAGGAUGCUGGCGUAAUGGCUGUAAGCGGCCCGUCUUGAAACACGGACCAAGGAGUCUAACAUCUAUGCGAGUGUUUGGGUGUCAAGCCCGAGCGCGUAAUGAAAGUGAACGGAGGUGGGAACCUUUUAGGUGCACCAUCGACCGAUCCUGAUGUCUUCGGAUGGAUUUGAGUAAGAGCAUAGCUGUUGGGACCCGAAAGAUGGUGAACUAUGCCUGAAUAGGGUGAAGCCAGAGGAAACUCUGGUGGAGGCUCGCAGCGGUUCUGACGUGCAAAUCGAUCGUCAAAUUUGGGCAUAGGGGCGAAAGACUAAUCGAACUAUCUAGUAGCUGGUUCCUGCCGAAGUUUCCCUCAGGAUAGCAGUAACGUUUUCAGUUUUAUGAGGUAAAGCGAAUGAUUAGAGGCCUGGGGGUUGAAACAACCUUCACCUAUUCUCAAACUUUAAAUAUGUAAGAAGUCCUUGUUUCUUAAUUGAACGUGGACAUUUGAAUGUAUCGUUACUAGUGGGCCAUUUUUGGUAAGCAGAACUGGCGAUGCGGGAUGAACCGAACGCGGGGUUAAGGUGCCAGAAUGCACGCUCAUCAGACACCACAAAAGGUGUUAGUUCAUCUAG